Molecule: long non-coding RNA, 341 nt
Filed under: Solanum tuberosum (potato)
Lineage: Eukaryota; Viridiplantae; Streptophyta; Magnoliopsida; Solanales; Solanaceae
Description: long non-coding RNA (STUB_LNC010718)
Source: RNAcentral
CUCUUGAUUUAACUGAUCUAUCAAGUUCUCUAAAAAGCUUUUCAUCACUGGUCAUGUGGUUCGUACAACCACUAUCAACAAGCCAACUUUCACUUGAUUUUUUGCUUGCGAAACAGGUGGCCACAAAUAGUUGCUCAUCUUCUUGUUGGUCUGCAAUCUGUGCAUCAUUUGGUUGUUGUAAUUCCUUCUCUUUGCAGAUAAUCUCAGCAUGACCGAGCUUGUGACACUUUCUGCAUUUCAUAUUAGGUUUUCUCCAACACUUGAAGUGUGGAUGAUUUUUCCUCCCACAAUGUUGGCAGGGAGGAUAUUUGCCUUCUCUGUUGUUGCUAGUUGCAGUAACA